Molecule: ribosomal RNA, 253 nt
Filed under: uncultured bacterium
Lineage: Bacteria
Description: partial 16S ribosomal RNA
Rfam family: Bacterial small subunit ribosomal RNA
Source: RNAcentral
AACGUAGGUUCCGAGCGUUAUCCGGAUUUACUGGGCGUAAAGCGCGUUCAGGCGGUUUGGCAAGUCGGGCAUGAAAUCUCUCGGCUCAACCGGGAGAGGUUGUCCGAUACUGCUGGACUUGAGGGCAGUAGAGGGUGGUGGAAUUCCGGGUGUAGUGGUGAAAUGCGUAGAUAUCCGGAGGAACACCAGUGGCGAAAGCGGCCACCUGGACUGUACCUGACGCUCAAACGCGAAAGCUAGGGGAGCGAGCGGG